Molecule: long non-coding RNA, 694 nt
Organism: Bos taurus (domestic cattle)
Lineage: Eukaryota; Metazoa; Chordata; Mammalia; Artiodactyla; Bovidae
Source: Ensembl
AGUCUAACUAGCAUCCUUGCUCUCUAUUGCUGAGAUCAGGCAGGGAUUCGGAGAUUGCCUGAGACACUUUCUGGUGACUAAUGCAGUACUUGAACAGGAAACAGACUGGAAAGGGCUUAGGAGGAGCUAUAAAUAGCUCAUGUCCUAAAAAAAUCUAACUUAGGGAGAAAUGGAAUUAACACACUGGAAGGAGAACAAGGAGAUCACAGGCUUCAAGCAAGACCAAGACUCCUCUUGGGAAAUGAGCUUUUCUCCCAGAUGGAGCUCAAUCUGCCCUUGUAGGAGUUAACUCUAUUAAGUGUUGAUAGAGUUGCACUUCUUGAUCCUGAGGUUGACCAGCUAGCCCUGUCUGCCUGCCAGAUCCUACAGUUGUACCCGGCAUAUGAUAGGAGCUCAAUGAAUACAAGUUGAUGGAAAGAAGUGAGACAGGAAGCAGGCAGCUCACCCCUCUUUUGACAGAUAAGAAGGCUGAGAGAAGGAGAGGAGGAGUGAUGUUUUCAAGGAUAUUCUUAGCUGGAAGCUUACAGCAAAGAGCCCUGCAACCACUCUGCUAACAAAUUAAGAAGCAUGUUCCCCUUGGUUGCAAGCUGCAGCAGUCUGGUCUCUACCUUGUUUCUUCCUGUCCAGUGCAAGGAAGAUGUUUGAUUUCCUCCUGGCUCAAACAAAAGCCUGGAACUGCAUUCCACUGACUGAC